AGAGGAGGCUCUGUCCGUUCGGCGUCUGUUUGACGCUCUCGAACCGGCCAAAAGGAUCGGGCUCGGGGCGUGACACAUUUACACAAAUAGUGUAAAUACUUAUAUAAAUAGUACAACACAUGAACCGGCUAUACACAUAUUACAUGAUUUUUAUUAUAUAUUAUUCAAAAUUUAGUAUAGAAAUCAUACAAUAUGUGUAUAAAAGAUUUAUGUUGCACUAUUUGCACAAAUAUUGCACUAUUUAGAAGAGAAUAUUAUACUAUUUGGGAAAGAAUGUUGCACUUUUUAAUCUUAUUAAUUAUACUUUAUUUUUUAUUUUGUCUUAAAUGAGGAUUCUCAUCUCUCAAGAAAAAGUACAUGCAAUUAUGACUUUGCAGUUAUUUUUUUCAAAAAAUUUGACACUUUAUUUAAUAUAUAAUACAAUUUAAUUUUAAAAAUGAAAGAGUGCAAUAUACCAUCUAAAUGAUAUAACAUUCUCUCAUUAUAGUGUAACAUUUACAUAAAUAGUAAUAAAUAUUUGUAUAAAUAGUACAACAUAUGCAUCGGCUAUAUAUAUAUAUUGCAUGAUUGUUAUAAUAUAUUGUAUUAUAUUAUUUUAUUUAUGCGUAAUAUACUAUAUUAUUUAUAAUUUAAUAUAAAAAUCAUGCAAUAUGUAUAUAAACAAUGUAUAUGUUGCACUAUUUGCACAAAUAUUGCAAUAUUUGGAAGAGGAUAUUGCACUAUUUAAUGAGUAUUACAUUUUCUUUUUUUUAUUAUUAUUUGGAGUUUUUUUAUUUAUAUCUUAGAUGAGAAUUCUAUUUUUCAAGAGAAAGAUAGCUGAAUAAUGACUUGCAAAGUUGUAUUUUUUAAAGACAUUUAAUGUAUUUUUUUGUAUUUCGAAGAGGAAUAAUUUGGUCAUGUUUUUAAAAAUUUGGACCGAAUUUACAAAAUCCAAAAAAACAGCUUAUUUUUGCAAAUUCUCAAAAUUAGUAAAUUUUUUAUGC
RNAcentral lists this long non-coding RNA (983 nucleotides) under Ananas comosus (pineapple). RNAcentral's name for it is "long non-coding RNA (ACOM_LNC027937)". The record is from RNAcentral. Lineage: Eukaryota; Viridiplantae; Streptophyta; Magnoliopsida; Poales; Bromeliaceae.